UAGAACACAGGCGUUGACUCUUGGUUCACUGUUCUGAACAUCCAGCCAGAUUGCUUUCUCUGCAGGGCACAUUCACAUCAGUCAGUAAUCUUAAGGGAUAUCUUUACUGCAGAUUUAAGCCAACUGAUCAGUAUCAACUACUCAUAUACAGCUAGCACAGUAUUCCCGCUGCAAAGCUCUGCUACUCGUCCCUCUCUGCCCAUGUUCAUUUAGGUACAUAUCACAAGGCUCUUCGUGUUGAAAUGCUCUAGGAUUCCACCUUGUCAACUGUGAGAGAAUUUGUCUAUCUUUUAGGAGAAUUGUGGGGAGGCUUUGGAAGAUGGUCAUCACUAGUCCGCACUGCAGAGAGAAUGGCUUCAUGCCCUAUUUGGAAGCCACAAGGCUCUAUCUUACACCUCCUGCCAGAUAUCCCAACCCAAGCUAAUGACAUCUCCAUGCCAGAAAAGUAAGGAUGAAGGAACAAGUUUUGCCCCACAGGCUGUGAGACCACAGUUAUUCUCAAUACCUUCAUGAGCCAGUGCCAUACUGUUGGGUAAUUUAGACCAAGCCCACAGCCAGCACUAAAGAAGAGUUGUGUGAUCCUGAAUCUCACCGUCAGUCGGUACAGGAAGGAGAUAUUCCCUGCCGCUGCUACAGAUCCAUUACUGCUGACAUUGAUUGAGUGGAAGAUUCUUCUUUUGAAUCAGGCAUGUGCAAAGCAAUUGACAGGGCUGCUCAAAGACCAGUGUGCACCUCAGAAGCUUAGAAGAGGACAUACAGGUUACAAUGUGUGGUAGAUAUCUGGAUAUAACUACAAAGUAGAGCAUGUUUGAACUGUUUCUUUUCUUUGGAAGGGCAAUAAGAACAGGAAGAGAGAGUUUUUCUGGAUUUGCCAAAAGUUAAGUCAUUACUGAUACAAACAAUAUCUCAGGUUACUGUUUGGGUUUAGAAACAUUUAUGAAUUGCACUGGAUUGAACUCUUCAACUCUGAACUUCAACCCCAACUCCCUCCCUCACCGACACCAAAGGGUCAUUUCUAUUCUUUGCAUUAUGUCAGUGGGGACACCCCAGAGCUGUUGCAUAUAUGUUUAGAUGGUGGUGGCAAGUUGGAGGCCCUGAACUCCUUUGGUCUGGUGCUGCUGAAAAAUGAUUUAAUUUGGAACCACUGUGAGCAUUCAAGAUGUUUUACUGGAGGUGGAUGUAAAGCCAAAUUCCAAAUGCACAUGGUUAGAAUUUAGUUGCAGACUAUGUAAACACACAGAAGCAAUGGAAAACUCCUGAUGUACUAUUGCAUGUUGUUUGACCAGUUUUAAGAAAAUUGUCUGUGUGAGCACAGGGGCUUUGCACACAAAUUGUUAAUGCUUUAUUCAGCCUAACAUUUUAUUUUUGGUCUAUCAACAUUUCAGAUCUGAUGAACAAGAUCUGCCAAAUAUAGGUACUCAUCACUGUUGCUCUCUCUCCAAAAGUUCACUCUAUACUAAGAUGCUAUUGAUGGGUUGAUAGUGUGAAAUGGUGCCACUGGCUCUGAACUAGCAAAAGGCAAGUAGCAAAAGUUAUUUAGUGGAUGCAUGCAAUUAAUGCUGCAAAGUGAUAAGCUCCAGAGUACUUUGAGUCAGACUAUACUGCUCCUGAGCACAGCAUCUGUAUGUGUGCCCAAGGCAGCAGCGCUUUGAGCCAGGGCAGAGCAGGCCCAGGCUGGCAGCAAGCUCAGGGGAAGUCAGCCCUGGGCUCUGAGUAGUGGCAGUGGGUGGAAGAGGGGAUGGCUAGAGCACGAGAGUGCCAAACAUGCAGAGCCGUGUGGCUAGGUGGCAGGCAAGAGUCUGGCUCCCUGAUGCCUGGGCUGACUGAGUGCAAUUUCCACCCAUGGUCCCUGUCUAUAUGAGUAUUUGAUCUCAGUUAUUUACUUUGCCAUAGGAUAGU
This is a long non-coding RNA of Gavialis gangeticus (Gharial), 1899 nucleotides long. RefSeq lists it as uncharacterized. NCBI's taxonomy places the organism in Eukaryota, Metazoa, Chordata, Crocodylia, Gavialidae. The transcript is spliced from 4 exons. The record is from RefSeq and is a predicted model, not a curated record.